GCUCGUGUCGUGAGAUGUUGGGCUAAGUCCCGCAACGAGCGCAACCCUUGUCUUUAGUUACCAUCAUUAAGUUGGGGACGUCUAGAGAGACUGCCGGUGAUAAACCGGAGGAAGGUGGGGAUGACGUCAAAUCAUCAUGCCCCUUAUGACCUGGGCUACACACGUACUACAAUGGCGCAUACAACGAGCUGCGAGAUGGUGACAUCAAGCGAAUCUCUUAAAAUGCGUCUCAGUUCGGAUUGGAGUCUGCAACUCGACUCCAUGAAGUCGGAAUCGCUAGUAAUCGCGGAUCAGCAUGCCGCGGUGAAUACGUUCUCGGGGUUU
This 324-nucleotide ribosomal RNA is filed under the name uncultured Erysipelothrix sp. RNAcentral describes it as "bacterial SSU rRNA". It matches the Rfam family "Bacterial small subunit ribosomal RNA", at positions 1058 to 1382 of the family's 1533-position model. The record is from RNAcentral. Lineage: Bacteria; Bacillati; Bacillota; Erysipelotrichia; Erysipelotrichales; Erysipelotrichaceae.